Molecule: ribosomal RNA, 173 nt
Filed under: uncultured bacterium
Lineage: Bacteria
Description: partial 16S ribosomal RNA
Rfam family: Bacterial small subunit ribosomal RNA
Source: RNAcentral
GGAAUUGCUAGUAAUGGCAGGUCAGCAUACUGCCGUGAAUACGUUCCCGGGCCUUGUACACACCGCCCGUCACACCAUGAGAGUUGGGGAUACCCGAAGCCUGUGAGCCAACUAUAUAGAGGCAGCAGUCGAAGGUAGAAUCAAUGAUUGGGGUGAAGUCGUAACAAGGUACC